Cyprinus carpio (common carp) is the source of this 1587-nucleotide long non-coding RNA. NCBI's taxonomy places the organism in Eukaryota, Metazoa, Chordata, Actinopteri, Cypriniformes, Cyprinidae. The record is from Ensembl.
AUGGAGAACACAAGCAGAUCCGUGAAUCUUACUUUCUCCAUUGAGGACAAAAAUGGAAAUAACAUUACUUGCCCCAAUGAGCAUUCCCCUGAUUCACUCAGGGGCUCUAGCAGUUUGAGUUGUGGCAGUUCAGAUAGUCCUCCUGAUGAAGAAAUGGAGGACUGUAUCACUUUCCCAACAAAAGGUGAGACGUCUUCAAAGUUAGUGAAAUCAAGUGGCGAAAUUGCUGUAGACUUUGUCCAAUCAAACACUGACAACUGGAAUGAGAAUUUGACUCUCUUGAUAGUGGACCCAAAAAACACUGAAUGCAAUGGCUGUGACAGAAGCUCGGAAACCUCCCCUGACUGUGGUGAGCGAGAGCUGUCUGAGGUGGACUCCUGCGAGCCAUCACGUCGUGGAUCCAGUGAGAACUGCUGCUCUGUGAGCUCAGGUGAGAUGGUCAUGAGAAGUAACAGCUUUCUUUUGCACCAGAAUGAUCAGCUACUGAGCAUCUCACUGACUGGGGAGUCGAGAACCUCCUUGGAUAUAUCGUCGGAUCUCGGCGUGGUAUCUGGCACGUUACCUGAUGUGUGCGAGGGCCUAACUAAGGUGCCACAAGAAGAGCCCAAGAAUCAGGGCCUGGAGUGUACCUACAUUCAACCAAACAAUCAGACAUUUCUCAUAGAUGAAAAGUCAUUGAGCACUGAGAAACUUGAAUGUGGCACACCUGUUCAUUAUCACAAAUCCAAUAAAGAUGUGGCAAAGUUGGCAUGCAGCAAUGGUGGAUCCGAUCACUCAACCCCAUUGGAGGGAAAAACUGUGCUGCUUACUGCUUCUGAUGAUCUAGACAUCAGUGGCAAUGCUCAAACCUCAACUCCAGUGCAGUCUGUGAGUAACAAGACACUUUGCCUCCCAUCUUUAUCUGAGUCACCUCUGAAUAAAGAUGAAGGUGAUUCAAUGAGUCCAAUGGCUCAAGUUAUCAGUCAGAAGCAAGGCACUGCCUCUCAAAAGCCCAAAACUCCCUUGGUGUCAGCCAGUAAAAGCAAUAAGAUAGAAAUAAAACGGUUUCCAAAGCCUAACUUCAGUAAUAUAAAGUCAAAAAUUAUGUCACAUGCCACCAACCCCUUCAAGAUAUCAAGUGCACAAGUUCCAAAGACUUCAUCAAAUGCUGUCCCUCAAAAUAAUGAAAGCCAGACUAUGGACCAACAUAAGUCAUCUCCUACCAAAUCCACUUUUACUGCAGUAACCAGCACAUCUGCCACACCAGCUCAAAGUGUAAAGAGCUCUAAUGCAACUAAAAGGACUCGCUCAUCAACUUGCCAAGAAAGUGGUCUAGCCUCAAAAUCUCGACCUCGCCGAUGGUCUGAAAGUGCUACCUCUUUCAAAACGAGUAAAGGUGGAUCACAAGAGAAGAAUCCACAGGUCAAUGGAGUCUUGAACAGCCUCGUCACACCACAAAAAAACACUAAAGGAGGUGCUCAGAAUCAGGGUGGGAAACCUGCAGAAACCGAGUCCAAUAGAGAGGACACACAGGGGAAUGAGUCUCUGAAGGUCCGAGGGAAGAAUCAGAAAAACAGUCUUUUGGUGAGUGUUAUGGCCAAUAACUGA